RNAcentral lists this ribosomal RNA (498 nucleotides) under uncultured Glomeromycotina. RNAcentral describes it as "partial small subunit ribosomal RNA". It matches the Rfam family "Eukaryotic small subunit ribosomal RNA", at positions 591 to 1092 of the family's 1831-position model. The record is from RNAcentral. Lineage: Eukaryota; Fungi; Glomeromycota.
CCAAUAGCGUAUAUUAAAGUUGUUGCAGUUAAAAAGCUCGUAGUUGAAUUUCGGGGUCAGUAGGCUGGUCGUGCCCCCGGUACGUACUGGUCUCACUGAUUCCUCCUUCCUGAAGAACCGUAAUGCCAUUAAUUUGGUGUUGCGGGGAAACAGGACUGUUACUUUGAAAAAAUUAGAGUGUUUAAAGCAGGCUAACGCUUGAAUACAUUAGCAUGGAAUAAUGAAAUAGGACGAUCGAUCCUAUUUUGUUGGUUUCUAGGAUUGACGUAAUGAUUAAUAGGGAUAGUUGGGGGCAUUAGUAUUCAAUUGUCAGAGGUGAAAUUCUUGGAUUUAUUGAAGACUAACUACUGCGAAAGCAUUUGCCAAGGAUGUUUUCAUUAAUCAAGAACGAAAGUUAGGGGAUCGAAGACGAUCAGAUACCGUCGUAGUCUUAACCAUAAACUAUGCCGACUAGGGAUCGGAUGAUGUUAUUUUUAAUGACUCAUUCGGCGCCUUACG